GCGGUUAUGGUGAAGUUGGUUAACACACCUGACUGUGAAUCAGGCAUGCUUGGGUUCGAGUCCCAAUAGCCGCCCCA
This 77-nucleotide transfer RNA is filed under the name Mycoplasmataceae bacterium. Its description in RNAcentral is "tRNA-His". It matches the Rfam family "tRNA". From Rfam's summary of the family: Transfer RNA (tRNA) molecules are approximately 80 nucleotides in length. Their secondary structure includes four short double-helical elements and three loops (D, anti-codon, and T loops). Lineage: Bacteria; Bacillati; Mycoplasmatota; Mollicutes; Mycoplasmatales; Mycoplasmataceae. The record is from RNAcentral.